AGAGUUUGAUCCUGGCUCAGGACGAACGCUGGCGGCGUGCCUAAUACAUGCAAGUCGAGCGGGGAUUAUGCUUGAUCGCUUCGGUGAGACGGCAUAUAUCCUAGCGGCGGACGGGUGAGUAACGCGUGGGUAAUCUACCUCGUAGUUCGGGAUAACAGGCCGAAAGGCUUGCUAAUACCGGAUGAGUUCAUGCUUAUGCAUAUAGGCAUGAAGAAAGGGCUAGCCCGCUAUGAGAUGAGCCCGCGUCCCAUUAGCUUGUUGGUGGGGUAAUGGCCUACCAAGGCAACGAUGGGUAGCCGGCCUGAGAGGGUGUACGGCCACACUGGGACUGAGACACGGCCCAGACUCCUACGGGGGGCAGCAGUAGGGAAUUUUCGGCAAUGGGCGAAAGCCUGACCGAGCGACGCCGCGUGAGGGACGAAGGCCUUCGGGUUGUAAACCUCUGUCUGGGGGGAUGAGAACGGACGGUACCCCCGGAGGAAGCCCCGGCUAACUACGUGCCAGCAGCCGCGGUAAU
RNAcentral lists this ribosomal RNA (517 nucleotides) under uncultured bacterium. RNAcentral describes it as "bacterial SSU rRNA". It matches the Rfam family "Bacterial small subunit ribosomal RNA", at positions 8 to 524 of the family's 1533-position model. The record is from RNAcentral.